CCCUGACAGCUACGUGGUGUAGCUGACCAACCCAGACAGGAGAUCGACAUG
RNAcentral lists this non-coding RNA (51 nucleotides) under unclassified sequences. RNAcentral's name for it is "Mu-gpT-DE RNA". It matches the Rfam family "Mu-gpT-DE RNA". The record is from Rfam by way of RNAcentral.